GCCGGCGCGGAGCAGCUUGAGCGGCUCGUGUAGGUGGGGUCGGCGCGGGCGAAGGCGAUAAUCACGCGGGUGACCGUGGCAUUCCGUCGGCG
RNAcentral lists this transfer RNA (92 nucleotides) under Nitrococcus mobilis Nb-231. RNAcentral describes it as "tRNA-Pro". Lineage: Bacteria; Pseudomonadati; Pseudomonadota; Gammaproteobacteria; Chromatiales; Ectothiorhodospiraceae. The record is from RNAcentral.